RNAcentral lists this ribosomal RNA (516 nucleotides) under uncultured bacterium. RNAcentral's name for it is "bacterial SSU rRNA". It matches the Rfam family "Bacterial small subunit ribosomal RNA", at positions 28 to 526 of the family's 1533-position model. The record is from RNAcentral.
GACGAACGCUGGCGGCGUGCUUGAUACAUGCAAGUCAAGGAGAACGUUUCUUUCGGGAAACUAUUAAACUGGCGAACGGGUGAGUAACACGUAGGCAACCUACCUUAGAGAUUGGGAUAACUCCGGGAAACCGGGGCUAAUACCGAAUAAUGCAGCGGAUCCUUCGGGAUAUUGUUGUUAAAGCGGGCUUCGGCUCGCACUUUUGGAUGGGCCUGCGCCCGAUUAGCUUGUUGGUAAGGUAAUGGCUUACCAAGGCCAUGAUCGGUAGCUGGUCUGAGAGGAUGAUCAGCCACACUGGGAUUGAGAUACGGCCCAGACUUCUACGGAAGGCAGCAGUAAGGAAUUUUGCGCAAUGGACGAAAGUCUGACGCAGCAACGCCGCGUGAUCGAUGAAGCUUCUAGGAGUGUAAAGAUCUGUCGUAAGGGAAGAAAAACCUGGAUGUAAAUAAUGUUCAGAUUUGACGGUACCUUUCAAGAAAGCACCGGCUAACUUCGUGCCAGCCGCCGCCGUAACAC